This 244-nucleotide ribosomal RNA is filed under the name Aeromonas salmonicida subsp. salmonicida 01-B526. RNAcentral describes it as "partial 16S ribosomal RNA". It matches the Rfam family "Bacterial small subunit ribosomal RNA", at positions 90 to 334 of the family's 1533-position model. The record is from RNAcentral. Lineage: Bacteria; Pseudomonadati; Pseudomonadota; Gammaproteobacteria; Aeromonadales; Aeromonadaceae.
GAUUAGCGGCGAACGGGUGAGGAACACGUGAAGAAUCUGCCCUCCACUUUGGGAUAACACCGGGAAACCGGUGCUAAUACCGAAUAUUGAAACAUAAGUGGCAUCACUGAGUUUUGAAAGAAUUUCGGUGGAGGAUGACUUCGCGGCCUAUCAGCUAGUUGGUGAGGUAAUGGCUCACCAAGGCAACGACGGGUAGCCGGCCUGAGAGGGCGACCGGCCACACUGGGACUGAGACACGGCCCAG